Molecule: ribosomal RNA, 393 nt
Filed under: uncultured bacterium
Lineage: Bacteria
Description: partial 16S ribosomal RNA
Rfam family: Bacterial small subunit ribosomal RNA
Source: RNAcentral
AUACGGAGGAUGCGAGCGUUAUCCGGAUUUAUUGGGUUUAAAGGGAGCGUAGGUGGGAUAUUAAGUCAGCUGUGAAAGUUUGGGGCUCAACCUUAAAAUUGCAGUUGAUACUGGUUUCCUUGAGUACGGUACAGGUGGGCGGAAUUCGUGGUGUAGCGGUGAAAUGCUUAGAUAUCACGAAGAACUCCGAUCGCGAAGGCAGCUUCCCGGGCCGGAACUGACGCUGAUGCUCGAAAGUGCGGGUAUCAAACAGGAUUAGAUACCCUGGUAGUCCGCACAGUAAACGAUGAAUACUCGCUGUUUGCGAUACACGGUAAGCGGCCAAGCGAAAGCGUUAAGUAUUCCACCUGGGGAGUACGCCGGCAACGGUGAAACUCAAAGGAAUUGACGGGG